UCAGAUGUGUUUGCAACUUUCAAGAAGUGGAAAGCUGAAGUUGAGAAUCAGACCGGUUUGAAAGUCAAAUGCCUAAGGUCUGACAAUGGAGGAGAGUAUGACAAAUCAGAGUUCAAGGAAUUCUGUGCAGCUGAGGGAAUCAGAUUGAUGAGAACAGUUCCUGGUAAGGCAAGGCAGAAUGAAAUUGCUGAGAGGAUGAACAGAACAUUGAAUGAGCGUGCAAG
RNAcentral lists this unclassified non-coding RNA (224 nucleotides) under Hevea brasiliensis (rubber tree). Lineage: Eukaryota; Viridiplantae; Streptophyta; Magnoliopsida; Malpighiales; Euphorbiaceae. The record is from RNAcentral.